GAAGAGGCCUCCGAGUGGCUGAAGGAGCACGCCUGGAAAGUGUGUAUACGGCAACGUAUCGGGGGUUCGAAUCCCCCCCUCACCGCCA
This 88-nucleotide transfer RNA is filed under the name Enterobacter hormaechei. Its description in RNAcentral is "tRNA-Ser". It matches the Rfam family "tRNA". From Rfam's summary of the family: Transfer RNA (tRNA) molecules are approximately 80 nucleotides in length. Their secondary structure includes four short double-helical elements and three loops (D, anti-codon, and T loops). Lineage: Bacteria; Pseudomonadati; Pseudomonadota; Gammaproteobacteria; Enterobacterales; Enterobacteriaceae. The record is from RNAcentral.